UACGUAGGGGGCAAGCGUUGUCCGGAAUCAUUGGGCGUAAAGCGCGCGUAGGCGGCCCGAUAAGUCCGCCGUGAAAGUCCAGGGCUCAACCCUGGAAUGCCGGUGGAAACUGUCGGGCUGGAGUCCGGAAGAGGCGAGUGGAAUUCCUGGUGUAGCGGUGAAAUGCGCAGAUAUCAGGAGGAACACCAAUGGCGAAGGCAGCUCGCUGGGACGGUACUGACGCUGAGACGCGAAAGCGUGGGGAGCAAACAGG
RNAcentral lists this ribosomal RNA (253 nucleotides) under uncultured bacterium. Its description in RNAcentral is "partial 16S ribosomal RNA". It matches the Rfam family "Bacterial small subunit ribosomal RNA", at positions 524 to 776 of the family's 1533-position model. The record is from RNAcentral.